Molecule: transfer RNA, 73 nt
Filed under: Canis lupus familiaris (dog)
Lineage: Eukaryota; Metazoa; Chordata; Mammalia; Carnivora; Canidae
Also listed under: 1 other name
Rfam family: tRNA
About the family: Transfer RNA (tRNA) molecules are approximately 80 nucleotides in length. Their secondary structure includes four short double-helical elements and three loops (D, anti-codon, and T loops). Further hydrogen bonds mediate the characteristic L-shaped molecular structure. tRNAs have two regions of fundamental functional importance: the anti-codon, which is responsible for specific mRNA codon recognition, and the 3' end, to which the tRNAs corresponding amino acid is attached (by aminoacyl-tRNA synthetases). tRNAs cope with the degeneracy of the genetic code in two manners: having more than one tRNA (with a specific anti-codon) for a particular amino acid; and 'wobble' base-pairing, i.e. permitting non-standard base-pairing at the 3rd anti-codon position.
Source: Rfam by way of RNAcentral
GCCUGGCUGGCUCAGUCGGUGGAGCAUGUGACUCUUGAUCUCAGGGUUGGGAGUUCGAAUCUCACAUUGGGUG